RNAcentral lists this transfer RNA (61 nucleotides) under Metacrangonyx sp. n. DJ2019. Its description in RNAcentral is "tRNA-His". Lineage: Eukaryota; Metazoa; Arthropoda; Malacostraca; Amphipoda; Metacrangonyctidae. The record is from RNAcentral.
GUCUUGAUAGUUUAUAUAAAAUAUUAUAUUGUGGUUAUAAAGAAGAAACAUUCUCAAAACA